This 481-nucleotide ribosomal RNA is filed under the name uncultured bacterium. RNAcentral describes it as "partial 16S ribosomal RNA". It matches the Rfam family "Bacterial small subunit ribosomal RNA", at positions 28 to 507 of the family's 1533-position model. The record is from RNAcentral.
GAUGAACGCUGGCGGCGUGCCUAACACAUGCAAGUCGAACGGAGAUUACGGACGGAAGUUUUCGGAUGGAAGACUGUAAUUCUUAGUGGCGGACAGGUGAGUAACGCGUGGGCAACCUGCCCUAUACAGGGGGAUAGCAGCUGGAAACGGCUGGUAAGACCGCAUAAGUCGGCGAGACCGCAUGGUUUUGCCGGGAAAUGAGCAAUCAGGUAUAGGAUGGGCCCGCGUCCGAUUAGCCAGUUGGCAGGGUAAAAGCCUACCAAAGCAACGAUCGGUAGCCGGACUGAGAGGUCGGACGGCCACAUUGGGACUGAGACACGGCCCAAACUCCUACGGGAGGCAGCAGUGGGGGAUAUUGCACAAUGGAGGAAACUCUGAUGCAGCGGCGCCGCGUGAGUGAAGAAGUAUUUCGGUAUGUAAAGCUCUAUCAGCAGGGAAGAUGAUGACGGUACCUGACUAAGAAGCCCCGGCUAACUACGUG